GGAGGGUGCAAGCGUUAAUCGGAAUUACUGGGCGUAAAGCGCGCGUAGGCGGUCUUGUAAGUCGGAUGUGAAAUCCCCGGGCUCAACCUGGGAACUGCAUUCGAUACUGCUCGACUAGAGUAUGGAAGAGGGAAGGGGAAUUCCGGGUGUAGCGGUGAAAUGCGUAGAUAUCCGGAGGAACACCAGUGGCGAAGGCGCCUUCCUGGGCCAAUACUGACGCUGAGGCGCGAAAGCGUGGGGAGCAAACAGGAUUAGAUACCCUGGUAGUCCACGCCCUAAACGAUGUCGAUUAGCCGUUGGGAUCAUUUAAGGUCUUAGUGGCGCAGCUAACGCGAUAAAUCGACCGCCUGGGGAGUACGGCCGCAAGGUUA
Molecule: ribosomal RNA, 371 nt
Filed under: uncultured bacterium
Lineage: Bacteria
Description: bacterial SSU rRNA
Rfam family: Bacterial small subunit ribosomal RNA
Source: RNAcentral